RNAcentral lists this ribosomal RNA (352 nucleotides) under uncultured soil bacterium. RNAcentral describes it as "bacterial SSU rRNA". It matches the Rfam family "Bacterial small subunit ribosomal RNA", at positions 26 to 403 of the family's 1533-position model. The record is from RNAcentral.
AGAACGAACGCUGGCGGCAUGCCUAAUACAUGCAAGUCGAACGAAGGCUUCGGCCUUAGUGGCGCACGGGUGCGUAACGCGUGGGAAUCUGCCCCUUGGUUCGGAAUAACAGUUGGAAACGACUGCUAAUACCGGAUGAUGACGAAAGUCCAAAGAUUUAUCGCCAAGGGAUGAGCCCGCGUAGGAUUAGCUAGUUGGUGAGGUAAAGCUCACCAAGGCGACGAUCCUUAGCUGGUCUGAGAGGAUGAUCAGCCACACUGGGACUGAGACACGCCCAGACCUCCGUACGGGAGCAGCAGUAGGAAUAGUGGACAGUGGGACGAAAGCCUGACUCCGAGUACGAAUCGACCCG